UACGGAGGGGGCGAGUGUUGUUCGGAAUUACUGGGCGUAAAGGGCGCGCAGGCGGCUUGGCAAGUCGAGUGUGAAAUACCUCAGCUUAACUGAGGAAUGGCGCUCGAAACUACCUCGCUAGAGGGCGGGAGAGGGAAGUGGAACUCUCGGUGUAGGGGUGAAAUGCGCAGAUAUCAGGAAGAACACCCGUGGCGAAGGCGGUUCUCUGGGACGGUACUGACGCUGAGACGCGAAAGCGUGGGGAGCGAACAGG
Molecule: ribosomal RNA, 253 nt
Filed under: uncultured bacterium
Lineage: Bacteria
Description: partial 16S ribosomal RNA
Rfam family: Bacterial small subunit ribosomal RNA
Source: RNAcentral